RNAcentral lists this ribosomal RNA (261 nucleotides) under uncultured Pseudomonas sp. Its description in RNAcentral is "partial 16S ribosomal RNA". It matches the Rfam family "Bacterial small subunit ribosomal RNA", at positions 1123 to 1382 of the family's 1533-position model. Lineage: Bacteria; Pseudomonadati; Pseudomonadota; Gammaproteobacteria; Pseudomonadales; Pseudomonadaceae. The record is from RNAcentral.
ACGUUAUGGUGGGCACUCUAAGGAGGACUGCCGGUGACAAACCGGAGGAAGGUGGGGAUGACGUCAAGUCAUCAUGGCCCUUACGGCCUGGGCUACACACGUGCUACAAUGGUCGGUACAAAGGGUUGCCAAGCCGCGAGGUGGAGCUAAUCCCAUAAAACCGAUCGUAGUCCGGAUCGCAGUCUGCAACUCGACUGCGUGAAGUCGGAAUCGCUAGUAAUCGUGAAUCAGAAUGUCACGGUGAAUACGUUCCCGGGCCUU